AGGCCUACGGGAGGCAGCAGUGAGGAAUAUUGGUCAAUGGCCGAGAGGCUGAACCAGCCAAGUCGCGUGAGGGAUGACGGCCCUACGGGUUGUAAACCUCUUUUGUCGGGGAGCAAGACCCGCCUCGUGCAGGCGGAGCGAGAGUACCCGAAGAAAAAGCAUCGGCUAACUCCGUGCCAGCAGCCGCGGUAAUACGGAGGAUGCGAGCGUUAUCCGGAUUUAUUGGGUUUAAAGGGAGCGUAGGUGGAUUGUUAAGUCAGUUGUGAAAGUUUGCGGCUCAACCGUAAAAUUGCAGUUGAAACUGG
This 305-nucleotide ribosomal RNA is filed under the name uncultured bacterium. Its description in RNAcentral is "bacterial SSU rRNA". It matches the Rfam family "Bacterial small subunit ribosomal RNA", at positions 335 to 636 of the family's 1533-position model. The record is from RNAcentral.